UUCCCCUAKSSCCUGCGAGUGAAGCGGGAAAAGCUCAAAUUUAAAAUCUGGCAGCCUUUGGCUGUCUGAGUUGUAAUCUAGAGAAGUAUUAUCCGCGCUGGACCGUGUACAAGUCUCCUGGAAUGGAGCGUCAUAGAGGGUGAGAAUCCCGUCUUUGACACGGACUGCCAGGGCUUUGUGAUGUGCUCUCAAAGAGUCGAGUUGUUUGGGAAUGCAGCUCAAAAUGGGUGGUAAAUUCCAUCUAAAGCUAAAUAUUGGCGAGAGACCGAUAGCGAACAAGUACCGUGAGGGAAAGAUGAAAAGAACUUUGGAAAGAGAGUUAAACAGUACGUGAAAUUGCUGAAAGGGAAACGCUUGAAGUCAGUCGCGUUGGCCAGGGAUCAACCUUGCUUUUUUGCUUGGCUUACUUUCUGGUCGAUGGGUCAGCAUCAAUUUUGACUGGUGGAAAAAGUUCAAGGGAAUGUGGCAUCUUCGGAUGUGUUAUAGCCUUUGUUCGCAUACAUCGGUUGGGAUUGAGGAACUCAGCAUGCCGCAAGGCCGGGUUUUUAACCACGUACGUGCUUAGGAUGCUGGCAUAAUGGCUUUAAUCGACCCGUCUUGAAACACGGACCAAGGAGUCUAACAUGCCUGCGAGUGUUUGGGUGAAAAACCCGAGCGCGUAAUGAAAGUGAAAGUUGAGAUCCCUGUCAUGGGGAGCAUUGACGCCCGGAUCUGACCUUUUGUGACGAUUCUGCGGUAGAGCAUGUAUGUUGGGACCCGAAAGAUGGUGAACUAUGCCUGAAUAGGGUGAAGCCAGAGGAAACUCUGGUGGAGGCUCGUAGCGAUUCUGACGU
RNAcentral lists this ribosomal RNA (833 nucleotides) under Laccaria sp. 2 TM03_404. RNAcentral's name for it is "eukaryotic LSU rRNA". It matches the Rfam family "Eukaryotic large subunit ribosomal RNA", at positions 75 to 892 of the family's 3401-position model. The record is from RNAcentral. Lineage: Eukaryota; Fungi; Basidiomycota; Agaricomycetes; Agaricales; Hydnangiaceae.